CCUACGGGAGGCAGCAGUGAGGAAUAUUGGUCAAUGGGCGCGAGCCUGAACCAGCCAAGCAGCGUGCAGGAUGACUGCCCUACGGGUUGUAAACUUCUUUUAUAAAGGAAUAAAGUGAGGCACGUGUGCCUUUUUGUAUGUACUUUAUGAAUAAGGAUCGGCUAACUCCGUGCCAGCAGCCGCGGUAAUACGGAGGAUCCGAGCGUUAUCCGGAUUUAUUGGGUUUAAAGGGAGCGUAGAUGGUUUGUUAAGUCAGUUGUGAAAUUUUGCGGCUCAACCGUAAAAUUGCAAUUGAUACUGGCAGUCUUGAGUACAGUUGAGGUAGGCGGAAUGCGUGGUGUAGCGGUGAAAUGCUUAGAUAUCAUGAAGAACUCCGAUUGCGAAGGCAGCUUACUAAGCUGCCACUGACGUUGAUGCUCGAAAGUGUGGGGAGCAAACAGGAUUAGAUACCCCUGUAGUC
Molecule: ribosomal RNA, 460 nt
Filed under: uncultured bacterium
Lineage: Bacteria
Description: partial 16S ribosomal RNA
Rfam family: Bacterial small subunit ribosomal RNA
Source: RNAcentral